Molecule: transfer-messenger RNA, 356 nt
Filed under: Planctomycetota bacterium
Lineage: Bacteria; Pseudomonadati; Planctomycetota
Description: Planctomycetes bacterium (groundwater metagenome) transfer-messenger RNA
Rfam family: transfer-messenger RNA
About the family: Bacterial tmRNA, also known as 10Sa RNA or SsrA, is named for its dual tRNA and mRNA-like properties.
Source: RNAcentral
GGGGGCGAAUUGGGUUCGACCGGGUCACAAGAGGUCGAGGCCGCGUGUCCAGGUUGUCAGGAGGCCUGGUUAAACACCUGACGAAACCUUUAAAUGCCAACUCUUCGCAGUUGCGCAUGGCCGCCUAAUUAGGCGACCCGUCCCGCCGACAACGCCUGCUAGUCGGCCGGGGCGCCAAUCAGCAGGCUGGCCUGUCCGGGUUGGCCGCGUGACGGACGGGCGAGAAACUCACGCUGCUGGGCCGUCGGAAGCCUGUCGAUGGGCGUCCGCCGGCCGAGACUCAAUGCACCGACUACGCACGUAGAAACCUCGGCUGAAGUACCACGGGACGCGGGUUCGAUUCCCGCCGCCUCCAA